GGGCACGACACCGGAGAGGGAGCCUGAGAAACGGCUACCACAUCCAAGGAUGGCAGCAGGCGCGCAAAUUACCCAAUCCCGACACGGGGAGGUAGUGACAAUAAAUAACAAUACGGGGUUCUUUCGGAUCUCGUAAUUGGAAUGAGUACAAUUUAAAUCUCUUAACGAGGAACAAUUGGAGGGCAAGUCUGGUGCCAGCAGCCGCGGUAAUUCCAGCUCCAAUAGCGUAUAUUAAAGUUGUUGCAGUUAAAAAGCUCGUAGUUGAAUUUCGGGGUUAGUAGGUUGGUCAUGCCUCUGGUAUGUACUGGUCUCACUGAUUCCUCCUUCCUGAUGAACCGUAAUGCCAUUAAUUUGGUGUUGCGGGGAAUUUGGACUGUUACUUUGAAAAAAUUAGAGUGUUUAAAGCAAGCUAACGCUUGAAUACAUUAGCAUGGAAUAAUGAAAUAGGACGUUCGAUCCUAUUUUGUUGGUUUCUAGGAUUGACGUAAUGAUUAAUAGGGAUAGUUGGGGGCAUUAGUAUUCAAUUGUCAGAGGUGAAAUUCUUGGAUUUAUUGAAGACUAACUACUGCGAAAGCAUUUGCCAAGGAUGUUUUCAUUAAUCAAGAACGAAAGUUAGGGGAUCGAAGACGAUCAGAUACCGUCGUAGUCUUAACCAUAAACUAUGCCGACUAGGGAUCGGAUGAUGUUAAUUUUUUAAUGACUCAUUCGGCGCCUUACGGGAAACCAAAG
Molecule: ribosomal RNA, 729 nt
Filed under: uncultured Glomeromycotina
Lineage: Eukaryota; Fungi; Glomeromycota
Description: SSU rRNA
Rfam family: Eukaryotic small subunit ribosomal RNA
Source: RNAcentral